AAAUGAGACAGAAAGUAGGAAUCACGGUGGGACAAUCUGUGGAAGAAAAGUAUAGUUGAUGAGUUCAAUGGUAUCUCUCAAUUUCCUGAGACACAACAAUAUUGAAAUAACGCCAAUUCAUAACCCUACAGUGGCCCCUAAGUGUUCAGAUGAAAAGAAGAGCCAAACAAUGUUGCAAACUUCGUUAUCUUAUUUUAAGAAAUGGCCACAACCACCCCAAACUUCAGCAAUCAUCACCUUGAUCAGGCAACAGCUAUCAACACUAAGGCAAGACCCUGUACCUGCAAAAAAGACUAUAAGUCAUGAAUUUUCAGAUGAUGAUUAGCAUUUUAGCAAUGAAGUGUUUUUAAUUAAGGUGAUUCAUCAAGAACACUUCUUGAACCAGCUGUGGUUGAUUAAGGAUGCUUACCUGCAUUCAUUUUAAGAAUUGUUGGACGUGUCACAAUCCAAUAUUGAACACGUUUCAUGUAAAUAUGCGGGGGGGAAGCAGAACUAAAUGGAAGUAGAAAAUAAAAAAUCUUCAGCACUAACCUAGAAGACUUUGAUCAUUACUUCAAGAAGAUGAGAUAUUGCCAUAUGUGAUGAUGAGCUUUGUGUUCAGGACUGCUGAAGCUAUCGAUCAUGAUUCCA
Molecule: non-coding RNA, 630 nt
Organism: Phascolarctos cinereus (koala)
Lineage: Eukaryota; Metazoa; Chordata; Mammalia; Diprotodontia; Phascolarctidae
Source: RefSeq, a predicted model, not a curated record